RNAcentral lists this non-coding RNA (30 nucleotides) under Mus musculus (house mouse). The record is from RNAcentral. Lineage: Eukaryota; Metazoa; Chordata; Mammalia; Rodentia; Muridae.
UAACUGAACUAUGAUGGGUGGCCAGUAUGU